UAGGGGGCAAGCGUUAUCCGGAUUUACUGGGUGUAAAGGGAGCGUAGGUGGCAUGGUAAGCCAGAAGUGAAAACCCAGGGCUCAACUCUGUGGAUUGCUUUUGGAACUAUCAGGCUGGAGUGCUGGAGGGGUAAGCGGAAUUCCUAGUGUAGCGGUGAAAUGCGUAGAUAUUAGGAGGAACACCGGUGGCGAAGGCGGCUUACUGGACAGAAACUGACACUGAGGCUCGAAAGCGUGGGGAGCAAA
RNAcentral lists this ribosomal RNA (246 nucleotides) under uncultured bacterium. RNAcentral's name for it is "partial 16S ribosomal RNA". It matches the Rfam family "Bacterial small subunit ribosomal RNA", at positions 528 to 772 of the family's 1533-position model. The record is from RNAcentral.